CGCGCUUCCCCGGGGGGCCGCGCCGAAGCGGCUGAGAGGCGGCUGAAGUCGCGACCCGCUGAACCUGAUCCGGCUGACUACCGGCGGAGGGAGGGAGCGGCCGCAUCGU
This 109-nucleotide non-coding RNA is filed under the name Pseudomonadota bacterium. RNAcentral's name for it is "Proteobacteria bacterium TPP sequence". It matches the Rfam family "TPP riboswitch aptamer (THI element)". From Rfam's summary of the family: Vitamin B(1) in its active form thiamin pyrophosphate (TPP) is an essential coenzyme that is synthesised by coupling of pyrimidine and thiazole moieties in bacteria. The previously detected thiamin-regulatory element, thi box was extended, resulting in a new, highly conserved RNA secondary structure, the THI element, which is widely distributed in eubacteria and also occurs in some archaea. Analysis of operon structures identified a large number of new candidate thiamin-regulated genes, mostly transporters, in various prokaryotic organisms. The record is from RNAcentral. Lineage: Bacteria; Pseudomonadati; Pseudomonadota.